Molecule: long non-coding RNA, 600 nt
Filed under: Phoenix dactylifera (date palm)
Lineage: Eukaryota; Viridiplantae; Streptophyta; Magnoliopsida; Arecales; Arecaceae
Description: long non-coding RNA (PDAC_LNC014409)
Source: RNAcentral
UAGUCAAGUUUAAGGUCACUACGUGAUCUCCACAACCUUUUUAGAAUCCAAAAAUAUCUAGGUUUAAUUUAAAGGGGUAAUUCUUGUAUUCCCUUAGCAAUUUAAUCAGAAAAUCUACAUUGAUUUUCCUUCCAACAGAAUUUACUUCAAAUUCAAUGGGUUAGAACUGUUGAGCCAAUAUCACUAUGAGUAGGAAUUAACACUAUCAACCUCCAAAUUCUUUUUCACCAAAAUUCUUAAUGUCUAUGAUCAAUGCUACACAUAAUAACUCACAUAAGCAUCUCAAAAUCGAAAUUUCUACUCAAUUUUGUAUUUUACAAUGACAAAGAUUUCAAGUUAACACACCCAAUAAUCUCCAACAAUUAUAAGAAAAAUUCAGUAGCCCAAUCCAAAUAUGAGAAUUCAAAUAAUUAGAAUUCCUCCAUCAAUAUGCAUACUCUAUGGCCUCAAAAUAAUCAAAUACAUCAAUAGAAAAUAGACCUAUUUGCAAUAUCCAACAUGCCAAUAUCAGAUAUAAUCCACAUGCAUUUUCAACUUCGAAGAACGUUCCUUUCAAUAUUAUGAAAUCUUUUUAGCUCACUCCAAUACUAUGGAAGAUCU